AGUGAUUUAGAUUUUGUUAAUGAAGUUUUGUAAUAAUUGGGCGAAUUUUGUAGAGUAGGCAAAAGCCCAAUAGAAAAAAUGACAUGUCUUUAGGGUUUGGGUGGACCCCACCCUAGUUUUUUUGGUGACUCAUUUUUGAAACCUAGGGAUUCCCAUUUGGUAGAGUGAGCCGUCAUAUGCUUGAAUAUUCCAGACCUCUCUCACAGUUUUUUUACCACAUGUUGCUGGAACGUUUCCGAGAGAGAAAUUGCAAUGGUAGUUCACGUUUCCAAUGGUUUAAUGAAUGAAGCAUUUUGAUUUUCCAUUUUGCUUUUUAUGCAUUUUUUAUUUAAGCUUAAUGCUACUUCUUUGCUGGAACGGAAAUGAUGCAAAGGUUUUUGUUGGUUGUUUUCUUGAGAGUUGUUGCCAUGGUCCAGAAUUUAGGUCUCGGUAAUUGCAAUCUUUGAAAGAGGGAGGUACCGUGAGUUGGUGAAGAAUGGAUGGGAUGGUUAUCACUUACAAUGCUUUGGUGGAAUGAGAAUGUGGGUCCAGAGCCUUAAUGCUCUUGAGCUUUGAGAUUGGAAUUUUAUUUUUCAAUUGGAAAAAGUGCUGCAGCAACUCUUGGGCAAUAUUGAUGUUGAUGAAUGAAGAAUUGAAUUGAUGAAGUUGGUGGAAGGUCAUGUCAGCAAAGGAGGCAUAUAAGCACGGUGGUGGUAUAUUUUUGGAAGCAAAGUCAUUUUGUUUUUAAAGAAGUAUAAAGAACGUAAUUCAUUGGUCAAUGAAGACGUGAUUCAUGGAGAGAAGUGUUAUUUAAUUGCUUCUUAUCUUUUAGAUGAAGGAGGCACGNAUUCCAUUGUAGUAGAAAGCAAAAAACCAUUUUAUGCUUUGGCAUUGGGAGCAUCAGACGUUGCUUUUAGCUUUGAAGAGAGAGAGAACGGUUCUUGAUUUGUUGAAAAGAGAUGAAGCACGGAUCCCAAUAGAGUAGCAAGCUUAUGGUUGAUUAUCAUUUCUUUUCUAAGGAGAGUACAAUUAGCAUAUGGAGUAGGCAUUGAAUUCUCUUUGCUAGCUGCANCAUUGAUGUCUCGGUCAAAGGAGUAACAUUUCCUUGGGAAUAGCUGCUGGAACAAGUCUCAUAUUUAGUCUGCAAUUUCUUUGAAGGGGCCCACGGUGGUAAAUUGGAGAAAGGGCCUUCAAUGCAAGUGAAUUAGUUUGGUGAUUGAAAUGUUGGUUGAUN
Molecule: long non-coding RNA, 1213 nt
Filed under: Vigna radiata
Lineage: Eukaryota; Viridiplantae; Streptophyta; Magnoliopsida; Fabales; Fabaceae
Description: long non-coding RNA (VRAD_LNC010446)
Source: RNAcentral